This 432-nucleotide ribosomal RNA is filed under the name uncultured bacterium. RNAcentral's name for it is "partial 16S ribosomal RNA". It matches the Rfam family "Bacterial small subunit ribosomal RNA", at positions 355 to 808 of the family's 1533-position model. The record is from RNAcentral.
UGGGGAAUCUUGCGCAAUGGGCGAAAGCCUGACGCAGCCAUGCCGCGUGAGUGAUGAAGGCCUUAGGGUUGUAAAACUCUUUCACCGGGGACGAUAAUGACGGUACCCGGAGAAGAAGCCCCGGCUAACUUCGUGCCAGCAGCCGCGGUAAUACGAAGGGGGCUAGCGUUGCUCGGAAUUACUGGGCGUAAAGGGCGCGUAGGCGGAUCAGCAAGUUGGGGUGAAAGCCCGGGCUCACCUCGGAAUUGCCUUCAAACUGCUGAUCUAGAGUACGGGAGAGGUGUGUGGAACUCCGAGUGUAGAGGUGAAAUUCGUAGAUAUUCGGAAGAACACCAGUGGCGAAGGCGACACACUGGCCCGUUACUGACGCUGAGGCGCGAAAGCGUGGGGAGCAAACAGGAUUAGAUACCCUGGUAGUCCACGCUGUAAACG